Molecule: ribosomal RNA, 446 nt
Filed under: uncultured bacterium
Lineage: Bacteria
Description: partial 16S ribosomal RNA
Rfam family: Bacterial small subunit ribosomal RNA
Source: RNAcentral
CCCAGACUCCUACGGGAGGCAGCAGUGGGGAAUAUUGCACAAUGGGGGAAACCCUGAUGCAGCGACGCCGCGUGGGUGAAGGAGUAUUUCGGCAUGUAAAGCCCUAUCGGCAGGGAAGAAGAAAGACGGUACCUGACUAAGAAGCCCCGGCUAACUACGUGCCAGCAGCCGCGGGAAUACGUAGGGGGCGAGCGUUAUCCGGAUUCACUGGGUGUAAAGGGAGCGUAGACGGCCAAGCAAGCCAGGGGUGAAAGCCCGGGGCCCAACCCCGGGACUGCCCUUGGAACUGCAUGGCUGGAGUGCGGGAGGGGCAGGCGGAAUUCCUGGUGUAGCGGUGAAAUGCGUAGAUAUCAGGAGGAACACCAGUGGCGAAGGCGGCCUGCUGGACGACAACUGACGGUGAGGCGCGAAAGCGUGGGGAGCAAACAGGAUUAGAUACCCGCGUA